UGAAGGAAGAUAGUCACUGAACUGUGUAUGCCGCUCGUCCCAACUUGAUCAACCCACAAUAAUCGUCAGUUUAAUCCUGGUGAUAUUCAGAGCAAAAUAUCGUGGUUUGGAGUUUGAAAUCUGCCGCUCGUGAGUCGUGUGAACAGCUGCACAACAGGGGAGAUCAUUUGUGUUUUCCACGUGUUUUGAAGGCACCCAACACGCCGGAAAAUGUCGAGUAAGUGUGUCCUCUCAACACAUUGGAUUGUAAUGAUUAGUCGGUCUGCAUUUUUAAGUUUCAUGGAAUGUUGUGGCUUGGAAAUAAUGUAUUUUUAUUUCUCUUUCCCUAUCAAGCAAGCCACUGCUGUUGUUUAUUACUGUGUAAUUUUAUUUAAUCUGGUGUAUAAUUUUCUUUGAUCU
Molecule: long non-coding RNA, 399 nt
Organism: Hippocampus comes (tiger tail seahorse)
Lineage: Eukaryota; Metazoa; Chordata; Actinopteri; Syngnathiformes; Syngnathidae
Exons: 3
Source: RefSeq, a predicted model, not a curated record